RNAcentral lists this ribosomal RNA (253 nucleotides) under uncultured bacterium. Its description in RNAcentral is "partial 16S ribosomal RNA". It matches the Rfam family "Bacterial small subunit ribosomal RNA", at positions 524 to 776 of the family's 1533-position model. The record is from RNAcentral.
UACGGAGGGGGUUAGCGUUGUUCGGAAUGACUGGGCGUAAAGCGCACGUAGGCGGAUUGUUAAGUCGGGGGUGAAAUCCUGGAGCUCAACUCCAGAACUGCCUUCGAUACUGGCGAUCUCGAGUUCGGGAGAGGUGAGUGGAACUGCGAGUGUAGAGGUGAAAUUCGUAGAUAUUCGCAAGAACACCAGUGGCGAAGGCGGCUCACUGGCCCGAUACUGACGCUGAGGUGCGAAAGCAUGGGGAGCAAACAGG